GUAGGGUGCAAGCGUUAAUCGGAAUUACUGGGCGUAAAGCGUGCGCAGGCGGUUUCGUAAGUCUGUCGUGAAAGCCCCGGGCUCAACCUGGGAAUUGCGAUGGAGACUGCAAGGCUUGAAUCUGGCAGAGGGGGGUAGAAUUCCACGUGUAGCAGUGAAAUGCGUAGAGAUGUGGAGGAACACCGAUGGCGAAGGCAGCCCCCUGGGUCAAGAUUGACGCUCAUGCACGAAAGCGUGGGGGAGCAAACAGGAUUAGAUACCCUGGUAGUCCACGCCCUAAACGAUGUCUACUAGUUGUCGGGUUUUAAUUAACUUGGUAACGCAGCUAACGCGUGAAGUAGACCGCCUGGGGAGUACGGUCGCAAGAUUA
This 370-nucleotide ribosomal RNA is filed under the name uncultured organism. RNAcentral's name for it is "partial 16S ribosomal RNA". It matches the Rfam family "Bacterial small subunit ribosomal RNA", at positions 527 to 896 of the family's 1533-position model. The record is from RNAcentral.